RNAcentral lists this ribosomal RNA (364 nucleotides) under uncultured Desulfocapsa sp. RNAcentral describes it as "bacterial SSU rRNA". It matches the Rfam family "Bacterial small subunit ribosomal RNA", at positions 1017 to 1374 of the family's 1533-position model. The record is from RNAcentral. Lineage: Bacteria; Pseudomonadati; Thermodesulfobacteriota; Desulfobulbia; Desulfobulbales; Desulfocapsaceae.
AGUUCGGCUGGAUCGGUGACAGGUGCUGCAUGGCUGUCGUCAGCUCGUGUCGUGAGAUGUUGGGUUAAGUCCCGCAACGAGCGCAACCCUUGUCCUUAGUUGCCAGCAUUAAGUUGGGCACUCUAAGGAGACUGCCGGUGUUAAACCGGAGGAAGGUGGGGGAUGACGUCAAGUCCUCAUGGCCCUUAUGUCCAGGGCUACACACGUGCUACAAUGGCCGGUACAAAGGGCAGCGACACAGCGAUGUGAAGCCAAUCCCGAAAAGCCGGUCUCAGUCCGGAUUGGAGUCUGCAACUCGACUCCAUGAAGUUGGAAUCGCUAGUAAUCGCGGAUCAGCACGCCGCGGUGAAUACGUUCCGGCCUU